RNAcentral lists this unclassified non-coding RNA (263 nucleotides) under plant metagenome. RNAcentral's name for it is "partial contains small subunit ribosomal RNA, internal transcribed spacer 1, and 5.8S ribosomal RNA". The record is from RNAcentral.
UUUCCGUAGGUGAACCUGCGGAAGGAUCAUUAUUGUAUAACCGAGGUGCGAGGGCUGUCGCUGACCCGAAAGGUCGUGCACGCCCGAGUGCCCUCACACACAUCCAUCUCACCCCUUUGUGCACCACCGCGUGGGUCCCCCUUUGGCUUGUUCGGAGGGGGGCUUACGUUUUCACACAAACUUUGUAUGCAGUGUAGAAUGUAUUUUUUGUUUUUGCGAUCACGCAAUCAAUACAACUUUCAACAACGGAUCUCUUGGCUCUC